This 253-nucleotide ribosomal RNA is filed under the name uncultured bacterium. RNAcentral's name for it is "partial 16S ribosomal RNA". It matches the Rfam family "Bacterial small subunit ribosomal RNA", at positions 524 to 776 of the family's 1533-position model. The record is from RNAcentral.
UACAGAGGGGGCAAGCGUUGUUCGGAAUUACUGGGCGUAAAGGGCGCGUAGGCGGCCUUCUAAGUCGAACGUGAAAUCCCUGGGCUCAACCCAGGAACUGCGUCCGAUACUGGAAGGCUUGAAUCCGGGAGAGGGAUGCGGAAUUCCAGGUGUAGCGGUGAAAUGCGUAGAUAUCAGCAGGAACACCCGUGGCGAAGGCGGCUUCCUGGAUCACCCCUGACGCUGAGACGCGAAAGCGUGGGGAGCGAACGGG